Molecule: long non-coding RNA, 629 nt
Organism: Dunckerocampus dactyliophorus (ringed pipefish)
Lineage: Eukaryota; Metazoa; Chordata; Actinopteri; Syngnathiformes; Syngnathidae
Exons: 3
Source: RefSeq, a predicted model, not a curated record
UAUAGAAUACAGUAUAAGAGAGUGACGUUUUGAAUUGAACUACUGAAAUUAAUGUACUUUUCAGAGAUAUUCAAAUGUAUUUAGAUGCAUCUUUAUGUAUUUUGGAAGAACUAAACAAUAAAUGUGCUUUGUUUCUAAAUCCAAUAAACAGAGCCUCACACAGGAGAGAUGGGCAUCCAUGCUUCAAGGAGGUUUCCUUCCAAUUCGCCUUCUACGGUUGCAGCGGGUUAUUAUGCAAAUGAGGCUGCCUGAUUCAUCAACAACUGUGAUGAUGAUGAAGCUGGCCAGACAGGAAUGUCACCUGGACACACAUCAGAGGGAAGACGGAGGGUGGAACCAGCAGAACAGAUGUGGAUAUUGAGUGGCCGACCAAAAUUACCCCAAGAGGGCAGCUGCGACUCAUCCAAGAGGUCACAAAAGACCCCACAACAACAUCCAAAGAAAUGCAGGCCUCACCUGCCUCAGUUAAGAAAACAUCUUGAUGAUCCCCAAGACCUUUGGGAAAAUACUCUGUGGUCUGACGAGACAAAAGUUGAACUUUUUUCUGGUGUAAAAGUAACACUGCAUUUCAGAAAAAGAACAUCACACCAACAGUAAAAUAUGGUGAUGGUAGUGUGAUGGUCUGGGGC